Molecule: non-coding RNA, 147 nt
Organism: Sturnus vulgaris (Common starling)
Lineage: Eukaryota; Metazoa; Chordata; Aves; Passeriformes; Sturnidae
Source: RefSeq, a predicted model, not a curated record
ACCCCCUGAGACCCCAGAGGGGAGCCAGGAUGACGAAGACCCCGCCGAGGCCCCGCCCCCGGAAGUGCUGCCCCUGCAAAUCGAGGUGGAGAGCACCGAGCCCCUCCCCCCUGCAGACGGUGACUCUGCGCUGCUGCUGCGCCUGCG